CGGGGUUGCGGGACCGGGUGGGUGCCGCUUUGUCCUGUCCGUGCACCUCGGUGUCAGUGCUGCAAGGCUUUUCUGUCUGAUGGCCCUGAACGCCCCACUGAAAGGCCUGUGCUGGCCAUGGCAGGAUAACUGCAACAGACUCAGGAAGGACAAAUACAGCCCAGUCUGUGCAGGGGCAAGGGAAGUGGAACGGCCGCAGAACCCCAUGACAUCAGCACCUGGUGGCUCAGCACGUUCUCACCUCUCCUUCUCCCUGUGAAUCUCCAUCCAAGCACAUGCCUCACAGCUUGUCAUCACCCAGGAGUAAGAGAACCACAGCUAAGCAGAAGUAGGAUUACCUACAGAGACCUGAGGCAGCAUAGACAACAACUACAGUGAGGGGAAGCACUUCAACACAAUGAAUUGCGUGAAGGCAGAGCAAGCAGGAACUCAGAAGAUGCACCCAGACUGCGUGGGGCUGAAGACCUUUCAGUUGAGGAGAGUUCCGUAUCAACCAGUCAAGAUGGCAAAGCUGAUGGCAUCAGGUCUUAUCAUUCAAGUUUCCUCACCAGGGAAGUCCAAGUGCCAGGCCACGCACUUCUCAUUUUCAGGAACUGGUUUGUUCGCUUAUCCUCCUUUCCUAUCCACAAGCAUGUCCGAUCAAGGAAACAGUUCACGUUAGCACCUGAACAAGGAUAAUCUCUGAAGUUUAUGGCCAUUAUAUCCAUCGUCAGCAGUAAAGAAGUAAAGGAGAAAACAAACAAACAAGUGAACAUAAACCAGACAGUAAUAAUGUACACAUCUUCAACUUGAACUAGGGCUGCAAUUUUUUGACUGAAAAAGUGGCUCGAAAUCAUAAUUUCAAAUAACUGAAAGUAGUACUCAUUGCAAGAAACAUGGCAAUAACACCGUGCCUCUAAAUUUCAGCAACUACAGCUACUACUCAAAAAGCAUGGGUAGGACAUCGUGUUGAGUUGCUUUGGUGUUUAUCCAGCUAGGAGUAUGCCAUUAAAAUCAAGUGACAGUUUCAUAAGCCUAAAGCCUUUCUAGGUUCACAAGUUCCCUGAUUCACUUCUCAAUAAAAUUACAGCUGAACAAUGCAUUCCCAUUCAGAAGUCAAGUUCAAUUACAUGGCGGCUCAUUGGUGUUGGUAAUUGAAAGCAACUCACCAAUAACCAACACCACUCCAAAAGAGCUAAAAGUGUCUUUGUCACUAAGCACACCCAAUAAUGAUUGAUUUUCAGUGAGAUAAUAUACCUGAAACUAUGCAUACUUCAGGCUAAGAAAAACUUUACCAGUUCUUUUGGACUCACACAUGCUUUAUGACCCCCACCUUGUGCAGACAGCAGGAAAAAUGUGAGAAACAACAAAAAACUAAUUGUUAGGAGUCACAAUCAACUGAACAAUAGUCCAAUAAAUUACUUGUUGGUACUUGCCUAACACGUUAGAUGUAAUAGGACUUAUAUUUUAACAGCAAAAUGAAAUCAGGAGAAUGAUUGAUACUCUUUCAGAAAAAAAUCGCUGUUCACACAAUACUAAGUUAUUUUUGUCAUCAGCAUCUCUGCUGCCUUUCAUUAACACCUACUGUUUUUUCAGCACAUGUAAACACGUAAUAUGCAGUGGUAGAUAAAAAUGCAUACUAAGAGCCAUUCCUCAUUGCAUACAUAACAGAUAUGACAGUAUAAUAUUUAAACACUUAUUCCCAUUAACCAAAAAAAGAUCCAGAUCCAGAACUGGAACAGAUUCAGAUCCAGCUAUUCAUGAAUUAGGCAAUACUAAUCAAUAUUGGUCAUACUGCUGUCUUUCUUUAAAUUGGAAACUUUACAAUAGCAAUAUCUUCACAGUUCGGCUGACAGCUGCUCUGUGUAACCAAUGAGAACCAGAGGAGGCACUCUUCUGUGUGUAGGAAAGGCAACAAACAUGGUUGCUUUGCAGUGAAGUGCAAAAAUAUUAAGAAAAUGUUAAGAAAUGCAUAAAUCUAAUUAUAAUUCUAUACAUUAAAAGAAUGUCUUCUGACUAAAAACCCAAGCUAAUGAAAUGCCAUGAUAUGCUGACUGGGAAGGGCAUGGAAUUGCUUUAGGGAAAAAAAAAAUUUAAAAAGCAAAAAUAAAGUUUAAGAAAAAAACCACAGAAAGUCAAUGCAUGCACAGGAGUCAGUAAUAAUACUCCAGCAGGUACAGAAAUCAUUGAGAACUGGUCCAAAUACUGCAAAAGCAGUUAACUUUGGAAUGGAAGAACAAAGUUGUGCUGAGACUUUGAUGGGAAGGCUCUCACACUCUUUCUUGCUAGCUGCUACCAAAUAGUCUCUUCUCCUCAAAAUGCCUUGCACCUAUUCCCAAGGUAGUCUUUGAAGAACCUCGAAUUCUGACACAUUAACAUGAGCCCAUUCAUUGCGUCUACACCAUUUUUCUGGUCUGUCAUUCAGCUCAUGAGCUCUUUGAGCCUGGAUGGGAGCCCACCCCAGAGCUUGCAAGAGUGGGGCAGAGCUCUGUUGUUUGCCUCAGCCCGGUCAAAAAGUCCUGGGAAUUCCCAGGCAAUGUGCUGGAUAAUUGCUUAUCUGGGAGGGUGAUAGGUCCUUACCUGAUAUCCUUAAUAUAAGGAAUAUGGAAUCCACCUGUUGGAAAAUAAAGCAAAUUAAUCGCAGAACUUCACCCACAAAGAAUUGCUGGUUCCCAGAUCCGCAGGGCCAGAAGCAGAUUGCAUAAAUCCUGUCAAGUUUCAAAAGCAGAAUCGACAGCUUUUCAUUCACAAACACCAUACAAACUACCUCUGGUGUCCUUGAGAGAGAAGAUGAAAUGUAAUGUUAAAGU
This is a long non-coding RNA of Numida meleagris (helmeted guineafowl), 2789 nucleotides long. RefSeq lists it as uncharacterized. NCBI's taxonomy places the organism in Eukaryota, Metazoa, Chordata, Aves, Galliformes, Numididae. The transcript has 6 exons. The record is from RefSeq and is a predicted model, not a curated record.